Molecule: ribosomal RNA, 253 nt
Filed under: uncultured bacterium
Lineage: Bacteria
Description: partial 16S ribosomal RNA
Rfam family: Bacterial small subunit ribosomal RNA
Source: RNAcentral
UACGGAGGGCGCAAGCGUUGUUCGGCAUCACUGGGCGUAAAGCGCGUGUAGGCGGCUUGGCAAGUCGGGUGUGAAAGCCCGGAGCUCAACUCCGGAACUGCAUUCGAAACUGCCUCGCUCGAGUCCCGGAGAGGGUGGUGGAAUUCCCGGUGUAGAGGUGAAAUUCGUAGAUAUCGGGAGGAACACCAGUGGCGAAGGCGGCCACCUGGACGGUGACUGACGCUGAGACGCGAAAGCGUGGGGAGCAAACAGG